CCUGUCCCUAGAGGCAUUGCAGGUGUGGCUGCUGGGUCACGUGUUCGUCAGUAGGUGGCAGAGAGGAGAGAGGCUAUGUCUAUGCUCAGUGUUCUGACUUGUGACCAUCUGAAUGAUCAGCAGCCUAACAGU
Molecule: small nucleolar RNA, 132 nt
Organism: Acomys russatus (golden spiny mouse)
Lineage: Eukaryota; Metazoa; Chordata; Mammalia; Rodentia; Muridae
Product: small nucleolar RNA SNORA17
Exons: 1
Source: RefSeq, a predicted model, not a curated record